UACGGGGGGUGCAAGCGUUAUUCGGAAUCAUUGGGCGUAAAGGGCGCGUAGGCGGUCUUUUAAGUCAGAUGUGAAAGCCCUCGGCUUAACCGGGGAAGUGCAUUUGAUACUAAAAGACUUGAGUAUGGGAGAGGGAAGCGGAAUUCCUGGUGUAGCGGUGAAAUGCGUAGAUAUCAGGAGGAACACCGGUGGCGAAGGCGGCUUCCUGGACCAAUACUGACGCUGAGGCGCGAAGGCGUGGGGAGCAAACAGG
Molecule: ribosomal RNA, 253 nt
Filed under: uncultured bacterium
Lineage: Bacteria
Description: partial 16S ribosomal RNA
Rfam family: Bacterial small subunit ribosomal RNA
Source: RNAcentral